AACGAACGCUGGCGGCAUGCCUAACACAUGCAAGUCGAACGGGAUCCAGGCUUCGGCCUGGUGAGAGUGGCGGACGGGUGAGUAACACGUGGGAACCUGCCUUUUGGUUCGGGAUAACCGCGGGAAACUGCGGCUAAUACCGGAUGCUCCCGAGAGGGGAAAGAUUUAUCGCCAGAAGAGGGGCCCGCGUCCGAUUAGGUAGUUGGUGAGGUAAUGGCUCACCAAGCCGACGAUCGGUAGCUGGUCUGAGAGGAUGAUCAGCCACACUGGGACUGAGAUACGGCCCAGACUCCUACGGGAGGCAGCAGUGGGAAUAUUGGACAAUGGGGCAACCCUGAUCCAGCAAUGCCGCGUGAGUGAUGAAGGCCUUAGGUUGUAAAGACUCUUUUGCCAGGGAGAUGAUGACUGUACCUGGAGAAUAAGCCCGGCUAACUUCGUGCCAGCAGCCGCGGUAAU
RNAcentral lists this ribosomal RNA (456 nucleotides) under uncultured bacterium. Its description in RNAcentral is "bacterial SSU rRNA". It matches the Rfam family "Bacterial small subunit ribosomal RNA", at positions 29 to 524 of the family's 1533-position model. The record is from RNAcentral.